UACGAAGGGGGCUAGCGUUGCUCGGAAUCACUGGGCGUAAAGCGCACGUAGGCGGCUUAGCAAGUUGGAUGUGAAAGCCCUCGGCUUAACCAAGGAAGUGCAUCCAAAACUGCUGAGCUUGAGUAGUUAAGAGGAUCGCGGAAUUCCCGGUGUAGAGGUGAAAUUCGUAGAUAUCGGGAGGAACACCAGUGGCGAAGGCGGCGAUCUGGGAACAUACUGACGCUGAGGUGCGAAAGCGUGGGGAGCAAACAGG
Molecule: ribosomal RNA, 253 nt
Filed under: uncultured bacterium
Lineage: Bacteria
Description: partial 16S ribosomal RNA
Rfam family: Bacterial small subunit ribosomal RNA
Source: RNAcentral